UCGGCUUCGGGGGGGUUGUCCGUGGUGGCGAGCCUGGGGAAGGGGCGACAAGGCCUCUGUGAUGACCCGCCCGCUCGUGGAGAUCCUGAUCAGGGACCUCAACAAGCGCGUCCCCGGCAAGAUCAAUAGAUCAUCGACCCCAAGACCAACACCGUCCCCUGACGAUUAAGGAUAUCCUGCAAGGGGAGUAGAAAUUGAGCAAGUACCAUUUUAUCAAAUCGUGAAGGAAAAGAAGAAGGCGACAAGGUUGAUACCUGUACGCAUUUCAUCACAUCAGGUAUGAGAGCGACUUGUUUCAUCACUUCAGGUAUGAGAGCGACUUGUUUCUGCAUGUCACAUAUCUUUUUGUUCAUGUCAUCAAGAACAUUGCAGAUUUGUUUUGUGCUGGGAUUGUCUCUCUUUGUACUUCCACCUGAACCUACGCCGUUGUUUUUUUCACGGCAUGCAAUGAUUUCAUUGACAAUCUGCAUGAAGAAGUAGUGUACCAUUAUCAGUUGAACACACAAAAAUAUGUAAAAACACGUGUGAUAAAAAAACAAUGUUACAAUUUGGUUUACCUUUCCAUUACCGUAGCCAUAAUCAGAGUCAUAAGCAUCUCUCUUACAGGCAGUACUUUCAUCCCAGUUCGUCAUAAGUGGGUAUGUAGAGAAGUUAUAUUUUUCCAAACCAAUGGCUGGACGGACCUUUGCCCAAUAGCAGAACUACAUGAUUAUGAAAAAUAGGAAAAAAUCGUUACUAAAUAUCUUGUAUAUAUUUAUCUAACCAAUAGAAGUAGCAUUAUGUUAUACCUGCAGAAGAGCUAAGUUCCCUUCUGGCCAACUCGUUUGGCCUUUUACUGUUUUCUUCUUUACUAGAUUGGAAAUCAGAAAUGGCAGUGUCAAAGAAAUCCAAUUCAUGUUCUGUGCUCGGCGUAGAUCAUCUACAAUUGCAUAGUAAUCUCUUGGCACAGAAGAAGUUGAAACUGGCAUUAGCAAUGUACCAAGAAGUACUAAAAGCACCCUUCUAAUAAAAUCAUCAUCAGCUGUGCCAUCUGUCUCAAUGGCUCUGAUGAGAUCAUCAAUUAGUAUCGUAUUUGUCCUGGGGUUGAGAAACUUUGAGGGGACCUCCCUUGAUGUGUCAAACUUUGCUUGAUUAAAAGUUUCACCGCGGUUCUUGAGUCCAGUAAUUGCUUCAACAUCUUCACCUGAAAGUGUUAUAUCUUCUGUUCCUAUUCUGAACACUUUCCGAGCAGGAUCGAAUGCUGUUAUCAUGAACAACAAUAACCCUGGACGCAUUAUCAUGUGUUUUGCUCUCAGGUAAGAGCCUAUUCCCCACUCUUCCAGUUUGCGGCGUUGGAUAGGAUUUAAUUUGGAUGUGAGGUCAUACCACUUCUUUGGUGAGCAAGGAUACGAUCUAAGCCUGAUGUGUUUUGAGUCAGGUGUAGCGACAGAAAAUAGAGAGGAACAUGGGACAUUCCACCGAAUGAAAAGAAACAGGAAAAAUACACCAGAUCAGCUGAUAAGACAAAGGAGACAUCAUGCAAGGCAUCAUCUAGAAGGAACAGGGAUCAUUACCUGUUCUUACUUUGGUCUCUGCCUGUAUAAUCAGAUUGAUCUUUUAUUUUUUUGAAACGGGGUAGGAGCUCUCCCUGUAUGAUCAAAGAGACGCCAUGAUCAAAUUGAUUUGUAUGUUCCACCGUGCUUGUAUGAUCA
Long non-coding RNA from Lolium rigidum, 1691 nucleotides. RefSeq lists it as uncharacterized. Lineage: Eukaryota; Viridiplantae; Streptophyta; Magnoliopsida; Poales; Poaceae. The transcript has 3 exons. The record is from RefSeq and is a predicted model, not a curated record.